This 1503-nucleotide long non-coding RNA is filed under the name Pavo cristatus (Indian peafowl). RNAcentral describes it as "lncRNA (ENSPSTG00000005208.1)". The record is from RNAcentral. Lineage: Eukaryota; Metazoa; Chordata; Aves; Galliformes; Phasianidae.
CGCCGCGGGCGCGCAGAGGGGCUGUGGGCGCGCAGCCCCCGGCCCGGCUCCGCGCGGCGCUACCCGAACCCCGCGGCGGCGGUACGCGGAAGAAGGGAGAGGAAGGACCUACUUUUGGGCAGUUUUCUCGCCCUCGCCUUGGAUCUCAUCGUGUCGGCUUGCGGAUUCCUCUCCUCCUCCUUGAGCCCAGAAGCAGCUACACACUAUCUUCAUCUCCCAAGCAUUGUCAGUUUGGACACCUUCGCACAUGCGCACAGAGCAUUCAAUCUGACACCCUCACCAGGGCCAAAAAAACUUUCCAAUGUAUUCAUCAUCAUCGGGGUGGUUGGUUUUUUUUUCCCCUGUCCUAUCCUCUUCUCCAGACCACUUAUCUCUGCCCCCUCCUCUCUCCGAGCACCAGCGCAGCCUUCCCCCGAUCUGCCCCUUUAAGACAGACGCGCAGCGCUCCGACCCCUCCGCGCAGUGCCCCUCGGAGCGGACAGUGCCCGCGGACCCGGGUGCCAUCCCCGAACGAGGUGCCGCUGGGAGCGCUCCCGAGGGAACGGCCGCUGCCUCGCCGGGGAAGCCGAGAGACUCACGGACAGCCGAGAACAGGGGGAUGCCUUUCAGAACGACCGGGAAGCACGAGGACAGAAAAACGCGUUUUGAGCAUCAGCCGUGCUGCUUUGCGCUCUCACACCCUAUUUAUCUGCGCGCAAAAGCCGCGCAGCGCUCUCCUGCAGCUCGCUGCCCCACUGACACCUCUACACCAAAACACGCUCAGCAGACGUUGCCCUUCUUAUUUCUAGCACGAAGCUCUGGCUCUCCUAGCCCUGAAAACACGCGGUAUAAGCCGCCCGUUCGGAUUUUCCCCCCAAGCCUUCCCCAGCCCCAGGAAUUCCCCUGAAUUCGUUACGCUGCGCGAGGCCGCGCUUUGCAGGGCCGGGGAAGGUAACAUCGCUGUCCGAAAAGAACGAGUCUGGAAAAGAAAAGCGACGUUCACGUGCGAACAUCGAACUUCAACCGUAUUGCCAUUACCGCCGUAAAAGAAACGCAGCAGCUUUAUUUAUUCCAGGAGAGCGCGGCCAUUAAAGAGAACUUGAGGAGCCCUAACGAUUAUUUCUUUCAGACGUCGGAACGCGGCCGCGCAACGCGUGGGGAGGAAUGCGGGCGGGCAGCGGCGGGCGCUGCGGUGCGGAGCGAUGCGGGCAGCGGUCGGGGCGCCCCGCACUGAUUUCUCACCCCCCGCACACUGUGCCGCAGGUAACGCACGGGGCACGUCGGCUUUCCCCUCGCAGUUACCAGCACGGCCCUUCUCAAGGUGAAGGCGCGGAGCCGCCGCGGUCCCUCCGUGGGGCUGCAGCAGCGCAGCGCUCCGGGGGCUCGCGGCCCCCACACCCCAAAAGAUAUUUCCUUAAUUAAAGCUUUAUGGGGGCGGUAGGGUUAUAGGUGGGUGAGCGAACCGAACCCCGACAGCACUUCAGGCGCUGCCCGCCGGGAGGCCCCCGCCCCACCCGCUGUAAC